RNAcentral lists this transfer RNA (72 nucleotides) under Apaloderma vittatum (bar-tailed trogon). It matches the Rfam family "tRNA". Rfam says of the family: Transfer RNA (tRNA) molecules are approximately 80 nucleotides in length. Their secondary structure includes four short double-helical elements and three loops (D, anti-codon, and T loops). Lineage: Eukaryota; Metazoa; Chordata; Aves; Trogoniformes; Trogonidae. The record is from Rfam by way of RNAcentral.
GGCUGGUUAGCUCAGUCAGUUGAGCGUGGCGCUAAAACCGCCAAGGUCACGGGUUUGAUUCCCGUUCAGUCC